RNAcentral lists this transfer RNA (67 nucleotides) under Holotrichia parallela (large black chafer). Its description in RNAcentral is "tRNA-Gly". Lineage: Eukaryota; Metazoa; Arthropoda; Insecta; Coleoptera; Scarabaeidae. The record is from RNAcentral.
ACUUAUAUAGUAUAUAUAUAUAUUAUAUUUGACUUCCAAUCAAAAGAACUAAAUUUUAGUAUAAGUA